UCCGAGUUGACCCCGGCAGUCUCCUAUGAGUCCCCGCCAUAACGCGCUGGCAACAUAGAACGAGGGUUGCGCUCGUUGCGGGACUUAACCCAACAUCUCACGACACGAGCUGAUGACAACCAUGCACCACCUGUACACCGCCCUUGCGGACCCCGUAUCUCUACGGCUUUUCCCUACAUGUCAAGCCUUGGUAAGGUUCUUCGCGUUGCAUCGAAUUAAGCAACAUGCUCCGCCGCUUGUGCGGGCCCCCGUCAAUUCCUUUGAGUUUUAACCUUGCGGCCGUACUCCCCAGGCGGAUGACUUAAUGCGUUAGCUGCGCCACCGAAAGCCUAAGGCCCCCGACAGCUAGUCAUCAUCGUUUACGGCGUGGACUAC
Molecule: unclassified non-coding RNA, 375 nt
Filed under: uncultured Actinomycetes bacterium
Lineage: Bacteria; Bacillati; Actinomycetota; Actinomycetes
Description: uncultured actinobacterium contains 16S-23S intergenic spacer region
Source: RNAcentral